UACGUAGGGGGCUAGCGUUGUCCGGAAUCAUUGGGCGUAAAGCGCGUGUAGGCGGCCCGGUAAGUCCGCUGUGAAAGUCGGGGGCUCAACCCUCGGAUGCCGGUGGAUACUGUCGGGCUCGAGUACGGAAGAGGCGAGUGGAAUUCCUGGUGUAGCGGUGAAAUGCGCAGAUAUCAGGAGGAACACCAAUUGCGAAGGCAGCUCGCUGGGACGUAACUGACGCUGAGACGCGAAAGCGUGGGGAGCGAACAGG
Molecule: ribosomal RNA, 253 nt
Filed under: uncultured bacterium
Lineage: Bacteria
Description: partial 16S ribosomal RNA
Rfam family: Bacterial small subunit ribosomal RNA
Source: RNAcentral